AACCAUAGAAACCUGCGGAGUACCUGCGGCAGGAUCAUUACCGAGUUUACAACUCCCAAACCCCUGUGAACAUACCACUUGUUGCCUCGGCGGAUCAGCCCGCUCCCGGUAAAACGGGACGGCCCGCCAGAGGACCCCUAAACUCUGUUUCUAUAUGUAACUUCUGAGUAAAACCAUAAAUAAAUCAAAACUUUCAACAACGGAUCU
Molecule: unclassified non-coding RNA, 207 nt
Filed under: soil metagenome
Description: partial contains 5.8S ribosomal RNA, internal transcribed spacer 2, and large subunit ribosomal RNA
Source: RNAcentral